UGGCUGGGAACUCCCCUAAACUCCAAAGUUUAAACACCCCCGGGGAACCUGCCCGUGCUGGGAGGAGGCUGAGUUAAGGUCAGGAGGGGACCAGGAGCUCGGAAGCAUGUCGGGGAAGCCCAGGCUUACCUACCUUAAUGGCAGGGGGCGAAUGGAGCCCGUACGAUGGCUGUUGGCAGCCGCUGGCGUGGAGUUUGAAGAAAUUUUUUUGGAAACAAGAGAGCAGUAUGAAAAGUUAAUCAAAG
Calidris pugnax (ruff) is the source of this 245-nucleotide long non-coding RNA. RefSeq lists it as uncharacterized. Lineage: Eukaryota; Metazoa; Chordata; Aves; Charadriiformes; Scolopacidae. The record is from RefSeq and is a predicted model, not a curated record. The transcript has 3 exons.